AUACAGAGGGUGCGAGCGUUAAUCGGAAUUACUGGGCGUAAAGCGCGCGUAGGCGGCUUAUUAAGUCAGAUGUGAAAUCCCCGGGCUCAACCUGGGAACUGCAUCUGAUACUGGUAAGCUAGAGUUUUUGAGAGGGUAGUAGAAUUUCAGGUGUAGCGGUGAAAUGCAUAGAGAUCGGAAGGAAUACCAGUGGCGAAGGCGACUUCCUGGCCAAAAACUGACGCUGAGGUGCGAAAGCGUGGGUAGCAAACGGGAUUAGAAACCCUAGUAGUCC
This 274-nucleotide ribosomal RNA is filed under the name uncultured bacterium. RNAcentral's name for it is "partial 16S ribosomal RNA". It matches the Rfam family "Bacterial small subunit ribosomal RNA", at positions 523 to 796 of the family's 1533-position model. The record is from RNAcentral.